RNAcentral lists this ribosomal RNA (254 nucleotides) under uncultured bacterium. RNAcentral describes it as "partial 16S ribosomal RNA". It matches the Rfam family "Bacterial small subunit ribosomal RNA", at positions 524 to 776 of the family's 1533-position model. The record is from RNAcentral.
UACAGAGGGUGCGAGCGUUGUUCGGAAUUACUGGGCGUAAAGCGCGCGCAGGCGGAUCCUGCAAGUCUGGAGUGAAAUCUCACCGCUCAACGGUGAGGCUGCUUUGGAUACUGCGGAUCUGGAGACCGGUAGAGGCUGGUAGAAUUGCAGGUGUAGCGGUGGAAUGCGUAGAUAUCUGGAGGAACACCGGUGGCGAAGGCGGCAUCCUGGACCGACACUGACACUGAGGAGCGAAAGCCAGGGGAGCAAACGGG